UCCGUAGGUGAACCUGCGGAAGGAUCACUA
RNAcentral lists this ribosomal RNA (30 nucleotides) under Udeniomyces sp. 'pseudopyricola'. RNAcentral's name for it is "Udeniomyces pseudopyricola partial 18S ribosomal RNA". Lineage: Eukaryota; Fungi; Basidiomycota; Tremellomycetes; Cystofilobasidiales; Mrakiaceae. The record is from RNAcentral. RNAcentral also lists the same sequence under 4 other names.